RNAcentral lists this transfer RNA (69 nucleotides) under Ictidomys tridecemlineatus (thirteen-lined ground squirrel). RNAcentral describes it as "Spermophilus tridecemlineatus (thirteen-lined ground squirrel) tRNA". It matches the Rfam family "tRNA". Rfam says of the family: Transfer RNA (tRNA) molecules are approximately 80 nucleotides in length. Their secondary structure includes four short double-helical elements and three loops (D, anti-codon, and T loops). Further hydrogen bonds mediate the characteristic L-shaped molecular structure. tRNAs have two regions of fundamental functional importance: the anti-codon, which is responsible for specific mRNA codon recognition, and the 3' end, to which the tRNAs corresponding amino acid is attached (by aminoacyl-tRNA synthetases). tRNAs cope with the degeneracy of the genetic code in two manners: having more than one tRNA (with a specific anti-codon) for a particular amino acid; and 'wobble' base-pairing, i.e. permitting non-standard base-pairing at the 3rd anti-codon position. The record is from Rfam by way of RNAcentral. Lineage: Eukaryota; Metazoa; Chordata; Mammalia; Rodentia; Sciuridae.
GGAGUUGUGGCUCAGUGGUAGAGCACUAGCCUAACACAUGAGAGGCACUGGGUUUGAUCCCCAGCACCA